CAUCACCAUACCUAUCUAUGGGCCCAUUCUCAAGUGCCCUAGAAUCACCAAUUCCUUUUAACGGAAAGGGAGGAUAAAUUGAAAAAAUGAUGGAAUUAAUUGAGACUUUCUAAGAACCAUAAAUAUAUAAUAUAAUAGAAGAAGCUACACCCAUAAUUCUUCUUUAGGAUUCGUUAAAUCCCUAUCAGACUCAUUUUGAGGUGGACGAUUGUGAUGAAGAUGGGUAUGUUACAGAAGUAAAUAUCCUAGAUACAUCCUCCAUCAAAUACACCCUACUUG
Molecule: long non-coding RNA, 279 nt
Filed under: Elaeis guineensis (African oil palm)
Lineage: Eukaryota; Viridiplantae; Streptophyta; Magnoliopsida; Arecales; Arecaceae
Description: long non-coding RNA (EGUI_LNC005691)
Source: RNAcentral